AGGCGCGUAGCUCAGUGGGAGAGCGCUUCCUUGACACGGAAGAGGUCAGGGGUUCAAUACCCCUCGUGCCUACCA
Molecule: transfer RNA, 75 nt
Filed under: Nitrospiraceae bacterium
Lineage: Bacteria; Pseudomonadati; Nitrospirota; Nitrospiria; Nitrospirales; Nitrospiraceae
Also listed under: 1 other name
Description: tRNA-Val
Rfam family: tRNA
About the family: Transfer RNA (tRNA) molecules are approximately 80 nucleotides in length. Their secondary structure includes four short double-helical elements and three loops (D, anti-codon, and T loops).
Source: RNAcentral